RNAcentral lists this ribosomal RNA (972 nucleotides) under human gut metagenome. Its description in RNAcentral is "bacterial LSU rRNA". It matches the Rfam family "Bacterial large subunit ribosomal RNA", at positions 1953 to 2925 of the family's 2925-position model. The record is from RNAcentral.
AAGGUAGCGAAAUUCCUUGUCGGGUAAGUUCCGACCUGCACGAAUGGCGUAACGAUCUCCACACUGUCUCGGCCAGAGACUCGGUGAAAUUGAAGUCGCGGUGAAAAUGCCGUGUACCCGCAGAAAGACGGAAAGACCCUGUGCACCUUUACUAUAGCUUGACAUUGGGAUUUGAGCCUGCAUGUGUAGCAUAGGUGGGAGGCUGUGAACUCUGUACGCCAGUAUGGAGGGAGCCAACGUUGAAAUACCACCCUUGUUUGUUCAGGUCCCUAACUCUUCGCCGUUACCCGGUAAGAGGACAGUGUCUGGUGGGUAGUUUGACUGGGGCGGUCGCCUCCCAAAAUGUAACGGAGGCAUGCAAAGGUUCCCUCAGGCUGAUUGGAAACCAGCCGUCGAGUGCAAACGCAAAAGGGAGCUUGACUGCAAGAGAGACAUCUCGAGCAGGUACGAAAGUAGGUGUUAGUGAUCCGGUGAUCCCGAAUGGAAGGGUCAUCGCUCAUUGGAUAAAAGGUACGCCGGGGAUAACAGGCUGAUCGCAUCCAAGAGUUCACAUCGACGAUGCGGUUUGGCACCUCGAUGUCGGCUCAUCACAUCCUGGGGCUGAAGCAGGUCCCAAGGGUACGGCUGUUCGCCGUUUAAAGUGGUACGCGAGCUGGGUUUAAAACGUCGUGAGACAGUUUGGUCCCUAUCUUCUGUGGGCGAAGGAGAAUUGAGAGGGCCUGUCCCUAGUACGAGAGGACCGGGAUGGACGCACCCCUGGUGAUCCUGUUGUCGCGCCAGCGGCAUAGCAGGGUAGCUAUGUGCGGAAGGGAUAACCGCUGAAAGCAUCUAAGCGGGAAGCCUGCCUCAAGAUAAGUUCUCCCCUCGAAAGAGCUGAAGGGCCCGGGUAGACUACCCGGUCGAUAGGCUGGAGGUGUAAGCGCGGCGACGUGCUCAGCUGACCAGUACUAAUAGCCCGAGCGGCUUAUUUUU